UACGUAGGCAGCGAGCGUUGUUCGGAGUUACUGGGCGUAAAGGGUGUGUAGGCGGUUCUUUAAGUUUGGUGUGAAAUCUCCCGGCUCAACCGGGAGGGUGCGCCGAAUACUGAGGGACUAGAGUGCGGGAGAGGAAAGUGGAAUUCCUGGUGUAGCGGUGAAAUGCGUAGAUAUCAGGAGGAACACCGAUAGCGAAGGCAGCUCGCUGGGACGGUACUGACGCUGAGACGCGAAAGCGUGGGGAGCAAACAGG
This 253-nucleotide ribosomal RNA is filed under the name uncultured prokaryote. RNAcentral describes it as "partial 16S ribosomal RNA". It matches the Rfam family "Bacterial small subunit ribosomal RNA", at positions 524 to 776 of the family's 1533-position model. The record is from RNAcentral.